ACUCAAAGGAAUAGACGGGGGCCCGCACAAGCGGUGGAGUAUGUGGUUUAAUUCGAUGCAACGCGCAGAACCUUACCUGGUCUUGACAUGUCGCGAACUGCCCAGAGAUGGGCGGGUGCCUUCGGGAAUGCGAACACAGGUGCUGCAUGGCUGUCGUCAGCUCGUGUCGUGAGAUGUUGGGUUAAGUCCCGCAACGAGCGCAACCCUUGUCCUUAGUUGCCAGCGAGUAAAGUCGGGAACUCUAAGGAGACUGCCGGUGACAAACCGGAGGAAGGUGGGGAUGACGUCAAGGCAUCAUGGCCCUUACGACCAGGGCUACACACGUACUACAAUGGGAGGUACAGAGGGUUGCCAAGGCGCGAGCCGGAGCCAAUCCCAGAAAACCUCUCUCAGUCCGGAUCGGAGUCUGCAACUCGACUCCGUGAAGUCGGAAUCGCUAGUAAUCGCGAAUCAGCAUUGUCGCGGUGAAUACGUUCCCGGGCCUUGUACACACCGCCCGU
This 500-nucleotide ribosomal RNA is filed under the name uncultured bacterium. RNAcentral describes it as "partial 16S ribosomal RNA". It matches the Rfam family "Bacterial small subunit ribosomal RNA", at positions 899 to 1397 of the family's 1533-position model. The record is from RNAcentral.